Molecule: ribosomal RNA, 678 nt
Filed under: Salmonella enterica subsp. enterica serovar Agona
Lineage: Bacteria; Pseudomonadati; Pseudomonadota; Gammaproteobacteria; Enterobacterales; Enterobacteriaceae
Description: partial 23S ribosomal RNA
Rfam family: Bacterial large subunit ribosomal RNA
Source: RNAcentral
CCGGGUUGCGGACAGUGUCUGGUGGGUAGUUUGACUGGGGCGGUCUCCUCCUAAAGAGUAACGGAGGAGCACGAAGGUUGGCUAAUCCUGGUCGGACAUCAGGAGGUUAGUGCAAUGGCAUAAGCCAGCUUGACUGCGAGCGUGACGGCGCGAGCAGGUGCGAAAGCAGGUCAUAGUGAUCCGGUGGUUCUGAAUGGAAGGGCCAUCGCUCAACGGAUAAAAGGUACUCCGGGGAUAACAGGCUGAUACCGCCCAAGAGUUCAUAUCGACGGCGGUGUUUGGCACCUCGAUGUCGGCUCAUCACAUCCUGGGGCUGAAGUAGGUCCCAAGGGUAUGGCUGUUCGCCAUUUAAAGUGGUACGCGAGCUGGGUUUAGAACGUCGUGAGACAGUUCGGUCCCUAUCUGCCGUGGGCGCUGGAGAACUGAGGGGGGCUGCUCCUAGUACGAGAGGACCGGAGUGGACGCAUCACUGGUGUUCGGGUUGUCAUGCCAAUGGCACUGCCCGGUAGCUAAAUGCGGAAGAGAUAAGUGCUGAAAGCAUCUAAGCACGAAACUUGCCCCGAGAUGAGUUCUCCCUGAGACUUAGAGUCUCCUGAAGGAACGUUGAAGACGACGACGUUGAUAGGCCGGGUGUGUAAGCGCAGCGAUGCGUUGAGCUAACCGGUACUAAUGAACCGU